AGCAUGUAUUUUUAUUAUAGUGCUGUUGUAGUCUUCAGAUUCAGAGUUUCGUUCCCUUCUUGGAUGGGAUUUGUUAUUCUGUUUCUUUGUUUUGUAUGUAAGUACAUAUUGUGUCAAGGAUUUCCUUGCUUAAAUGGCAUCUCAAAGUAACUGUUUUAGUUCAUCUUGGGCAUCGAUAUUCUUGUGGGCUACAUGAGAUUUAGUGACCUGAGCUCUGUCAUCCCUCUCCUGAUUUUCUACCGGCAUAUGCACAGAUUCUAGCUUUCUUUCAAUUUUAGCUUGCUUGGCUUUCUUCUCGUGAAGGAGACAUCUUUCCUGAGAAAGCUUUGCUUUUUUGAUAGAGUUCUUUGACGGUCUUAUCAUGUACACCAAGUUUCUCCCGGUGU
Molecule: unclassified non-coding RNA, 386 nt
Filed under: Hevea brasiliensis (rubber tree)
Lineage: Eukaryota; Viridiplantae; Streptophyta; Magnoliopsida; Malpighiales; Euphorbiaceae
Source: RNAcentral